UACAGAGGUCUCAAGCGUUGUUCGGAUUCAUUGGGCGUAAAGGGUGCGUAGGUGGCGCCGUAAGUCGGGUGUGAAAACUCGAGGCUCAACCUCGAGACGCCGGUGGAAACCGUAAAGCUAGAGUCCGGAAGAGGAGAGUGGAAUUCCUGGUGUAGCGGUGAAAUGCGCAGAUAUCAGGAGGAACACCGAUGGCGAAGGCAGGUCUCUGGGCCGAUACUGACGCUGAGGAGCGAAAGCGCGGGGAGCGAACAGG
RNAcentral lists this ribosomal RNA (253 nucleotides) under uncultured bacterium. Its description in RNAcentral is "partial 16S ribosomal RNA". It matches the Rfam family "Bacterial small subunit ribosomal RNA", at positions 524 to 776 of the family's 1533-position model. The record is from RNAcentral.